Molecule: ribosomal RNA, 202 nt
Filed under: uncultured bacterium
Lineage: Bacteria
Description: partial 16S ribosomal RNA
Rfam family: Bacterial small subunit ribosomal RNA
Source: RNAcentral
UACGGAGGGUCCAAGCGUUAUCCGGAAUCAUUGGGUUUAAAGGGUCCGUAGGCGGUUUUGUAAGUCAGUGGUGAAAGCCCAUCGCUCAACGGUGGAACGGCCAUUGAUACUGCAAGACUGAAUUAUUGGGAAGCAACUAGAAUAUGUAGUGUAGCGGUGAAAUGCUUAGAGAUUACAUGGAAUACCAAUUGCGAAGGCAGGU